This 965-nucleotide long non-coding RNA is filed under the name Salmo trutta (river trout). RNAcentral's name for it is "lncRNA (ENSSTUG00000038166.1)". The record is from RNAcentral. Lineage: Eukaryota; Metazoa; Chordata; Actinopteri; Salmoniformes; Salmonidae.
CCAGUUUUAUGUCCGCUCUCACCCUCUUAUAGUUCUUGCACCUGUUAGAAACACACACACACACAUACCCAUUGUUUCUUCAUCCUGUUGUUUACAAUCUUGAGCUACAAUAAAAUAAACCUGUUGAAUGUUAUUCCUAGAGGGUAGGAUGUUUGGUUAUGAUAGGCCACACUCCAGACUCAUGUUAUAAUAUUAUUGUAUUUCAACACGCUAUCAAAGUCUGUUAAGAACUGAAGAAUGAGGGAGGAUGUGUGUACUGCCCACAAGGGCCUCUGUAGCCAGUGUUGACAGUACUGGCAUCGUCAAGCUAGGUGUGUGUGUGUGUCUGUGUCUGUGUGUGUGCAUACAUGAAUGCCUGUGAAUAUAUCAACAUUAUAGUUAUUAUACAAAUUAUCUGCCCUCUCUCUCUCUCUCUCUCCUCUUUGUCUCUCUCCUUUCUUUCUCUCCUCUUUUUCUCGUUCCCUCUCUCAGGCAUAAUAAGUUGAAGUUGAAGCAGGAUCAUGACAUUGUGGUUUAUGAGGACCUGACAGGGGAGGUCACCUGCCCCAGCCCAACAACCUUAACACGUGAGUCGCUACAACGCCACCUGGGGCCAUUGCUCCUGGCCACUAAAGUACUUUCAAUUGAAGAAAACAUAAGAUAAGUAAUUUGAUAAUUGGGGUGUGUAUUUGUGUUGUAGUCUGUUGCUGAGUGCGUCUAGAAGGCUGGCUGCAGCUGAUGCUGAGGUGGGCUCCCCAGGAGCGAGGCAGACCCCUAGACCACCUCCCGACUGCUUCUCUCAGCUUGUGACUAUAUUGGAGCAAAAGGAGAUAGACGGGAGGUGGACAGACCUUUCUCUGGUGUUUCCGUUUGACCGUUCCUCCUGCAGCUAUGAGCCACAGUUCACCCCAUCCACAAUGCCAGAAAAUAUACGCUUUGUCCGUGAGUACACGCAAACUCUAAUGCUAAGAAAACUGAAAAAUAUG